AAAAAGGGGACCUGGGACGGAGAAGCAGCUGCCACGGGCAUGCCCCAGGCAUCCGUCGUUCCUGUCGUCCCGACAGUUGCCGCCCCUCCUGUUGGCGCUGUCAGGAAAUCCGAUUUCACCUACACAUACAGCCGGACAUAGGAACGGCUGAAAUAGACCGCGAAACGAAUGGAAGAAAUUGCAAUACCCAACACCAGCUUCUUGGCUCUGCGAGAUGGCCAAAGCCAACCGGACAUCGUCAGAGCGCCGCUUCUCAUCUUCUUUUUCAGCUUCUUCACGUGACAUGGCUAAUGCCAAUUGCAAUUGUAGUUCUUCUUCGCCAGCCGUCUGGGGGCGGGCCAAAUCCAAAUCCGUUGGUGCGACAGCCGCUCGGGCCCUUGUAGCCAAACCGGUUGGAUCCGAUCCGAAGCUUUCAGAAGGUGAUCCCAUAAACUAAAACAAAUUAGAAGAAGAAAAAUAAAUAAAUACACCAAAAUUGGGUUAUUACGACCACUGAGAAAUGGAAGUCAAACAAAGUGAAAGAACACGUUAACACUAAAGGAUUGGCACACAUGUGAAAAAGGGAUACACAAAAAUCCGCGUGCUUCGGGGGGGUUCCAAAUCUCAUGCUUGCCGAGAAAUAUAACAAACACCGACGAAUAAGGUGAGCCAUGACCCACUUACAUCCCAACGCGUAGGACUCGAGGGCGACAUCAGCUCCUGGAGACGAUGUACACACAUCCCCAAUUUAAAGCACGCACGCAUACAAAAUCAUUAUUCACGCCGCGAAAUUGGAGAGAUAAAAACCGAUUGGGUAACGAGGAGCAGAGAAAACUAAAUUUUUAAAAAUGUAUCUAUUGGAAAUAUCUUACAUUUGAAUCGGACCCAGUGCCGAAUCCGGUAGUCUGCUGAGCGAAACGUUCGCGAGCUUUCAGGGCUUUAAUUCGUUCAUUCUUUAACCGUUCGUCAUCUUUUAGUAAGGCUUCUAGGGCCUUGGACUUUUCCCGUACAUGAAUGCCCUGGUCUUUACCGUCCUCAUAGUAUUGAAAAUCCUGUAGGGAAAAAAUAAAAGGGAAAUGCAUUAGCCCACAGGGAUAGUUGAAGGUAAAAUUCCUAUAAAACUUACCCUAAGCGUGUGAAUUGCAAAGAUGUUUUCUUUGCACUGCUGCGCCACUUUUUCGUUGCCAGUUUUGACUAAAUAAUCUAAAAGCACCAGGGCUUUGUAGACGUGACGGUAAUUUUUCCCAUGGUCAUUCAAUCUUUUCCAGAUCAUCUGCAUGAUCUCGGAGAAGGCCACGACAUUGUAGGUCAGGUCCGAGAUCUCGGACAUCAGUGAGCUUGGUGGGCCCCAUGGAUCGUUGCUGGUUGCUUCUCGCACCUUGACCUAAAACAAAUUACAAUUCGGUGUUAUGCUACAUGGUGACAACUAGCAAAAUAAACAAGAAUGUCCUUUUACCUGUGCAUCAGUGUAAUUGUGAGCAAUGUUCUUUAUAUUUCUUCGAAUUCCUGACACGUUCAUUGGGCUAGUUGUGUUGGCUGUUCACUUCCUGGAAAAGAGAAGUACUGAGUCAGACACUGUUAUUCGAGCACUUUAUGGUUUUCCUACAACAAACAGGAUUACAAUGCCAGCUGACGGGUCAAGGUUAGGUAAUUUUCCCUGUACUACUACAGGUUCACAAAUGCAAAUAUACAGUCAAAUAUAAUACUACAUAAUGUGAUAGAACUUCCGAAAGCUAUUCUUUCAGAAAUUAACAACUAGAAAUGUUUCAACGUGUGGAACAUACCACCAAAAGAGUCAAUGAACCUGUCAAGCUUCAACACUUUUUUAAACCAAAGUGACUUAAAAAACAAUUCUUAUCAGAAGUGUCGGAUACGCAUCGUAUGGGCCAAUAACUUCCAGAAAAAUGUAAUGAAUGUCUUCAUACUCGGGACGUCAUCGCAAAACCGAUUCGGUCACGUCUAGGCAGCUUUUAUAAACAAGCAUUCAUUCACCAUGACAACAAAUCCUCAUUCUACUUACCAAAUUAUAAAAGAUUAUCAGCUGGACGACGCAAACUAAAAAAUAUGAUAUUUCAAUAAGUAAAUAGAAAACUGACACAAGACUCUACACCCCUCUGGCACUCACUGAAUGACAAAAAACCUAUACCUAUAGCUAUCAAAUGCUGUUGCCAGAUCUAGAAAUGCUCCUACACGAAGUGCGUGUUUUAGGGCUCGGCCCCGAUUUCAAAUUAAUCGGGGACACCGAAAACCCUCACCGAAAAAUGAGGUUCGGGGACGGUGCGGUGCGGUGAUUUUUUUCCCGGUGCGGUGCGGUGCAAGCACCGCACCGCACCGAAAGCACCGAAUAGAAAUUUGCCUGAGGUGGUGCG
Molecule: long non-coding RNA, 2348 nt
Organism: Daphnia magna
Lineage: Eukaryota; Metazoa; Arthropoda; Branchiopoda; Diplostraca; Daphniidae
Exons: 3
Source: RefSeq, a predicted model, not a curated record